UUGAACGCUGGCGGCAUGCUUUACACAUGCAAGUCGAACGGCAGCGCGGGCUUCGGCCUGGCGGCGAGUGGCGAACGGGUGAGUAAUGCAUCGGAACGUGCCCAGUAGUGGGGGAUAGCCCGGCGAAAGCCGGAUUAAUACCGCAUACGACCUGAGGGUGAAAGCGGGGGACCGAAAGGCCUCGCGCUAUUGGAGCGGCCGAUGUCGGAUUAGCUAGUUGGUGGGGUAAAGGCUUACCAAGGCGACGAUCCGUAGCUGGUCUGAGAGGACGACCAGCCACACUGGGACUGUGACACGGCCCAGACUCCUACGAGAGGCAGCAGUGGGGAAUUUUGGACAAUGGGGGCAACCCUGAUCCAGCCAUGCCGCGUGCGGGAAGAAGGCCUUCGGGUUGUAAACCGCUUUUGUUCGGGAAGAAAUCCUCUGGGCUAAUACCCCGGGGGGAUGACGGUACCGGAAGAAUAAGCACCGGCUAACUACGUG
Molecule: ribosomal RNA, 483 nt
Filed under: uncultured bacterium
Lineage: Bacteria
Description: partial 16S ribosomal RNA
Rfam family: Bacterial small subunit ribosomal RNA
Source: RNAcentral